AGGUCAGGCUGAAGACCUUACCGGAUUAGCUGAGAGGUGGUGCAUGGCCGUCGUCAGUUCGUACUGUGAAGCAUCCUGUUAAGUCAGGCAACGAGCGAGACCCACGUCCACAGUUGCCAGCAUACCCUCCGGGGUGAUGGGUACACUGUGGAGACCGCCGCUGCUAAAGCGGAGGAAGGAAUGGGCAACGGUAGGUCAGUAUGCCCCGAAUCUCCCGGGCUACACGCGGGCUACAAUGGUUGGUACAAUGGGCAUCUACCCCGAAAGGGGAAGGAAAUCUCUUAAAGCCAAUCGUAGUUCGGAUUGAGGGCUGCAACUCGCCCUCAUGAAGCUGGAAUCCGUAGUAAUCGCGUCUCAAAAUGGCGCGGUGAAUAUGUCCCUGCUCCUU
This 388-nucleotide ribosomal RNA is filed under the name uncultured Methanosaeta sp. Its description in RNAcentral is "bacterial SSU rRNA". It matches the Rfam family "Archaeal small subunit ribosomal RNA", at positions 951 to 1338 of the family's 1478-position model. The record is from RNAcentral. Lineage: Archaea; Methanobacteriati; Methanobacteriota; Methanomicrobia; Methanotrichales; Methanotrichaceae.